This 1540-nucleotide ribosomal RNA is filed under the name Salmonella enterica subsp. enterica serovar Newport. Its description in RNAcentral is "bacterial LSU rRNA". It matches the Rfam family "Bacterial large subunit ribosomal RNA", at positions 1 to 1574 of the family's 2925-position model. The record is from RNAcentral. Lineage: Bacteria; Pseudomonadati; Pseudomonadota; Gammaproteobacteria; Enterobacterales; Enterobacteriaceae.
GGGUUGUGAGGUUAAGCGACUAAGCGUACACGGUGGAUGCCCUGGCAGUCAGAGGCGAUGAAGGGCGUGCUAAUCUGCGAUAAGCGCCGGUAAGGUGAUAUGAACCGUUAUAACCGGCGAUACCCGAAUGGGGAAACCCAGUGUGACUCGUCACACUAUCAUUAACUGAAUCCAUAGGUUAAUGAGGCGAACCGGGGGAACUGAAACAUCUAAGUACCCCGAGGAAAAGAAAUCAACCGAGAUUCCCCCAGUAGCGGCGAGCGAACGGGGAGGAGCCCAGAGCCUGAAUCAGCAUGUGUGUUAGUGGAAGCGUCUGGAAAGGCGCGCGAUACAGGGUGACAGCCCCGUACACAAAAGCGCAUGUGCUGUGAGCUCGAUGAGUAGGGCGGGACACGUGGUAUCCUGUCUGAAUAUGGGGGGACCAUCCUCCAAGGCUAAAUACUCCUGACUGACCGAUAGUGAACCAGUACCGUGAGGGAAAGGCGAAAAGAACCCCGGCGAGGGGAGUGAAAAAGAACCUGAAACCGUGUACGUACAAGCAGUGGGAGCACAGGUUUACCUGUGUGACUGCGUACCUUUUGUAUAAUGGGUCAGCGACUUAUAUUCUGUAGCAAGGUUAACCGAAUAGGGGAGCCGGAGGGAAACCGAGUCUUAAUUGGGCGUUAAGUUGCAGGGUAUAGACCCGAAACCCGGUGAUCUAGCCAUGGGCAGGUUGAAGGUUGGGUAACACUAACUGGAGGACCGAACCGACUAAUGUUGAAAAAUUAGCGGAUGACCUGUGGCUGGGGGUGAAAGGCCAAUCAAACCGGGAGAUAGCUGGUUCUCCCCGAAAGCUAUUUAGGUAGCGCCUCGUGAAUUCAUCUCCGGGGGUAGAGCACUGUUUCGGCUAGGGGGCCAUCCCGGCUUACCAACCCGAUGCAAACUGCGAAUACCGGAGAAUGUUAUCACGGGAGACACACGGCGGGUGCUAACGUCCGUCGUGAAGAGGGAAACAACCCAGACCGCCAGCUAAGGUCCCAAAGUCAUGGUUAAGUGGGAAACGAUGUGGGAAGGCCCAGACAGCCAGGAUGUUGGCUUAGAAGCAGCCAUCAUUUAAAGAAAGCGUAAUAGCUCACUGGUCGAGUCGGCCUGCGCGGAAGAUGUAACGGGGCUAAACCAUGCACCGAAGCUGCGGCAGCGACACUGUGUGUUGUUGGGUAGGGGAGCGUUCUGUAAGCCUGUGAAGGUGGCCUGUGAGGGUUGCUGGAGGUAUCAGAAGUGCGAAUGCUGACAUAAGUAACGAUAAAGCGGGUGAAAAGCCCGCUCGCCGGAAGACCAAGGGUUCCUGUCCAACGUUAAUCGGGGCAGGGUGAGUCGACCCCUAAGGCGAGGCCGAAAGGCGUAGUCGAUGGGAAACAGGUUAAUAUUCCUGUACUUGGUGUUACUGCGAAGGGGGGACGGAGAAGGCUAUGUUGGCCGGGCGACGGUUGUCCCGGUUUAAGCGUGUAGGCUGGUUUUCCAGGCAAAUCCGGAAAAUCAAGGCUGAGGCGUGAUGACGAGG